RNAcentral lists this ribosomal RNA (1942 nucleotides) under metagenome. Its description in RNAcentral is "bacterial LSU rRNA". It matches the Rfam family "Bacterial large subunit ribosomal RNA", at positions 1 to 1974 of the family's 2925-position model. The record is from RNAcentral.
AAAAGUUACUUAAGGCUAAUGGUGGAUGCCUUGGCUGAUAGAGGCGAUGAAGGACGUAUUAGACUGCGAUAAGCUUCGGGGAGCUGUCAAAAAGCUUUGAUCCGGAGAUUUCCGAAUGGGGCAACCCGUUAACACCUUCGGGUGAGCGAACCUUGCGAAGUGAAACAUCUUAGUAGCAAGAGGAAAAGAUACCAAUAGGUAUUCCCUUAGUAGUGGCGAACGAACGGGGAUUAGGGCUGUGUGAUUUAGCAUUUCAAGUAGUAGAAUUGUUUGGAAAAGCAAACCAUAGAGAGUGAUAGUCUCGUAUACGAAACUUGAUUUGUGGAACUAAGCACACGAACGAGUAGGUCGGGACACGAGAAAUCUUGACUGAACUUGGGAGGACCAUCUUCCAACCCUAAAUACUACUAUCAGACCGAUAGCGAACUAGUACCGUGAGGGAAAGGUGAAAAGAACCCCUGUGAGGGGAGUGAAAUAGAACCUGAAACCAUUAGCCAACAAUCAUUCGGAGCCGUAUUUUUCUUUUGAAAAACGGUAACGGACUGCCUUUUGCAUAAUGAACCUGCGAGUUGUGGUAUUUGGCGAGGUUAAACAUUUGUGUAGCCGGAGCGAAAGCGAGUCUUAAUAGGGCUUUUAGUCAGAUACUGCAGACCCGAAACUGAGUGAUCUAUCCAUGAGCAGGUUGAAGCUGGUGUAAGAGCCAGUGGAGGACCGAACCCGUAGGCGUUGAAAAGUCUUGGGAUGACUUGUGGAUAGGGGUGAAAGGCCAAUCAAACUUCGUGAUAGCUGGUUCUCUCCGAAAUAUAUUUAGGUAUAGCGUCGUGUAAAUUGUUAUAUAGGGGUAGAGCACUGAAUGGGCUAGGGCUGCUUACCGCGGUACCAAACCCUAUCAAACUUCGAAUACUAUAUGUGUAAUCAUGGCAGUCAGGCGUAGGGUGAUAAAAUCCUAUGUCGAGAGGGGAACAACCCAGACUAACAGCUAAGGUCCCAAAGUUUUAUCUAAGUGGAAAAGGAUGUGGAGUUGCUGUGACAACCAGGAGGUUGGCUUAGAAGCAGCCAUCCUUUAAAGAAAGCGUAACAGCUCACUGGUCUAGCGAUUCUGCGCCGAAAAUAUAACGGGGCUAAGAUAAACACCGAAGCUUUAGAUUUGAUAUUUAUAUCAAGUGGUAGGAGAGCGUUCCAUUCAGCGUUGAAGGUAUACCGGUAAGGAGUACUGGAGCGGAUGGAAGUGAGCAUGCAGGCAUGAGUAGCGAGAAAAGAAGUGAGAAUCUUCUUCGCCGUAAACCCAAGGUUUCCUACGCGAUGCUCGUCAUCGUAGGGUUAGUCGGGACCUAAGUCGAGUCCGAAAGGGGUAGACGAUGGCAAAUCGGUUAAUAUUCCGAUACCGACAUUACAUCAUUUGAGUGAUGGGGGGACGCAUAGAGUUAGACGAGGUCACUGAUGGAAUAGUGGCUCGAAGGAAGUAGGUUGAGAAGUAGGAAAAUCCGCUUCUCAUGAAACCGAGAUCUUACAGGCUGAACAAUCUCUUCGGAGAGCGUUUAGAAUCGUCGAUACUGUCGUGCCGAGAAAAGCCUCUAAACGAGAUGUAAUGUUGCCCGUACCGUAAACCAACACAGGUGGGUGAGAUGAGUAUUCUAAGGCGCGUGGAUGAACCAUUGUUAAGGAACUCUGCAAACUAGCACCGUAUCUUCGGUAUAAGGUGUGCCCUAUUUGUUAGGAGAUUUACUCUCCAAAGCAAUGACGGGUCGCAGCAAAGUGUCCCUCCCGACUGUUUACCAAAAACACAGCACUCUGCUAACUCGUAAGAGGAUGUAUAGGGUGUGACGCCUGCCCGGUGCUUGAAUGUUAAAAGGAUUGCUUAGCUUUGCGAAGGCAUGAAUUGAAGCACAAGUAAACGGCGGCCGUAACUAUAACGGUCCUAAGGUAGCGAAAUUCCUUGUCG